CGCGGCCUAUCAGCUUGUUGGUGGGGUGAUGGCCUACCAAGGCGACGACGGGUAGCCGGCCUGAGAGGGUGAUCGGCCACAUUGGGACUGAGAUACGGCCCAGACUCCUACGGGAGGCAGCAGUGGGGAAUAUUGCACAAUGGGCGGAAGCCUGAUGCAGCGACGCCGCGUGAGGGAUGACGGCCUUCGGGUUGUAAACCUCUUUCAGCAGGGACGAAGCGUAAGUGACGGUACCUGCAGAAGAAGCACCGGCUAACUAUGUGCCAGCAGCCGCGGUAAUACGUAGGGUGCGAGCGUUGUCCGGAAUUACUGGGCGUAAAGAGCUCGUAGGCGGUUUGUCACGUCGUCUGUGAAAUCCUAGGGCUUAACCCUGGACGUGCAGGCGAUACGGGCUGACUUGAGUACUACAGGGGAGACUGGAAUUUCUGGUGUAGCGGUGGAAUGCACAGAUAUCAGGAAGAACACCGAUGGCGAAGGCAGGUCUCUGGGUAGUAACUGACGCUGAGGAGCGAAAGCAUGGGUAGCGAACAGGAUUAGAUACCCUGGUAGUCCAUGCCGUAAACGGUGGGCGCUAGGUGUGGGGUUCCUUCCACGGGCUCCGCGCCGUAGCUAACGCAUUAAGCGCCCCGCCUGGGGAGUACGG
This 643-nucleotide ribosomal RNA is filed under the name uncultured bacterium. RNAcentral describes it as "bacterial SSU rRNA". It matches the Rfam family "Bacterial small subunit ribosomal RNA", at positions 232 to 885 of the family's 1533-position model. RNAcentral also lists the same sequence under 1 other name. The record is from RNAcentral.